CCUACGGGUGGCAGCAGUGGGGAAUAUUGGGCAAUGGGCGCAAGCCUGACCCAGCAACGCAGCGUGAAGGAAGAAGGCUUUCGGGUUGUAAACUUCUUUUGUUAGGGAAGAGUAGAAGACGGUACCUGACGAAUAAGCCACGGCUAACUACGUGCCAGUAGCCGCGGUAAUACGUAGGUGGCAAGCGUUGUCCGGAUUUACUGGGUGUAAAGGGCGUGUAGCCGGGUUGACAAGUCAGAUGUGAAAUCCUGCGGCUUAACCGCAGAACUGCAUUUGAAACUGUUGAUCUUGAGUACUGGAGAGGCAGACGGAAUUCCUAGUGUAGCGGUGAAAUGCGUAGAUAUUAGGAGGAACACCAGUGGCGAAGGCGGUCUGCUGGACAGCAACUGACGGUGAGGCGCGAAAGCGUGGGGAGCAAACAGGAUUAGAUACCCCAGUAGUC
RNAcentral lists this ribosomal RNA (442 nucleotides) under uncultured bacterium. RNAcentral's name for it is "partial 16S ribosomal RNA". It matches the Rfam family "Bacterial small subunit ribosomal RNA", at positions 338 to 795 of the family's 1533-position model. The record is from RNAcentral.